This 862-nucleotide ribosomal RNA is filed under the name Nothoramichloridium perseae. Its description in RNAcentral is "partial large subunit ribosomal RNA". It matches the Rfam family "Eukaryotic large subunit ribosomal RNA", at positions 67 to 957 of the family's 3401-position model. Lineage: Eukaryota; Fungi; Ascomycota; Sordariomycetes; Xylariales; Anungitiomycetaceae. The record is from RNAcentral.
AACAGGGAUUGCCCUAGUAACGGCGAGUGAAGCGGCAACAGCUCAAAUUUGAAAUCUGGCCCUCGGGUCCGAGUUGUAAUUUGUAGAGGAUGCUUUUGGUGCGGUGCCUUCCAAGUUCCCUGGAACGGGACGCCUUAGAGGGUGAGAGCCCCGUACGGUUGGACACCAAGCCUCUGUAAAGCUCCUUCGACGAGUCGAGUAGUUUGGGAAUGCUGCUCAAAAUGGGAGGUAAAUUUCUUCUAAAGCUAAAUACCGGCCAGAGACCGAUAGCGCACAAGUAGAGUGAUCGAAAGAUGAAAAGUACUUUGAAAAGAGGGUUAAACAGCACGUGAAAUUGUUGAAAGGGAAGCACUUGUGACCAGACAUUUUCCGGGCGGAUCAUCCGGCGUUCUCGCCGGUGCACUUCGCCCGGUAAAGGCCAGCAUCGGUUUCUGCGGGGGGAUAAAAGCUUCGGGAAUGUGGCUCGCCUCGGCGAGUGUUAUAGCCCGUUGCAUAAUACCUCCGCGGGGACCGAGGUCCGCGCAUUGCAAGGAUGCUGGCGUAAUGGUUACCAGUGACCCGUCUUGAAACACGGACCAAGGAGUCGAACAUUUGUGCGAGUGUUUGGGUGUUAAACCCUCACGCGUAAUGAAAGUGAACGGAGGUGAGAGCCCUCGGGUGCAUCAUCGACCGAUCCUGAAGUCUUCGGAUGGAUUUGAGUAAGAGCAUAACUGUUCGGACCCGAAAGAUGGUGAACUAUGCGUGGAUAGGGUGAAGCCAGAGGAAACUCUGGUGGAGGCUCGCAGCGGUUCUGACGUGCAAAUCGAUCGUCAAAUCUGCGCAUGGGGGCGAAAGACUAAUCGAACCAUCUAGUAGCUGGUUA